RNAcentral lists this long non-coding RNA (2787 nucleotides) under Panax ginseng (ginseng). Its description in RNAcentral is "long non-coding RNA (PGIN_LNC009652)". The record is from RNAcentral. Lineage: Eukaryota; Viridiplantae; Streptophyta; Magnoliopsida; Apiales; Araliaceae.
CAAAUCUCAAUCUCAAUCUACUAUACGUACGCGGUUUUUGGAGCUCUAAUUUUAAAAAUCGAUUUUUCUCUCUCCGAAAUGAAAUAACCAAUACUCUGUACUUUUUUUUUUCUCUCUCUCCAAAACACGAUUGCAGAUCAAAUCGAUUCCCCCUAGCUAGCUCAGAUUCCAGAUCAAGUAAAGUCGCAAAAUCCGAAUCCCCUAUUUCAGAUUCAAAACCGAUUCUCCCUAUUCAAGCAACCUAGCAAAAUCCAAAUCCCCUCACGGAGUCCAAAAAUCGACAUCUACCUCCUUGAUCUCGGCUUCAAUUCGGUAAACUCUUCGCUAUUUUCCUAUAUUAACUGUAUUUUUUGAAGAUUAUGUCGAGUAUCAGACCUCCUUUUCGACUUUGAUUUCAUGUCCCAGAAAAUUUCUUGACAAGGACCUAUGUGCAACACACCUGGUAGUUUCUUGCCCAUUUAUGUGAAAGUUCUCUUUGAUUAUCAAAUUGCAAGGAAGAAAGGUUUCACUAUCUGAUGGCAAAAAGAAUGAGUAUCUAUACGACUUCUUUUUUAUUUUUAAUUUAAUUUGCUGGCUGGCUUUUAAUAAGGAUAACUUUCAUUGUUCUUGUAAUUCUUACAUUCACCUCUGUUACAUACUUCCUUGUCAAAAAGUCAAAAAGCUUGAGUUAACAUAAUCAUUAUGCGUAGGUAAUGAAAUAUGGUAUAUAAAUUCAAAGAGGGGAAUAGUUGACAACAUAGGAAGAACUAGUCCACUGAGUUUUUAAAUGCCUAAAGUGUAAAAAAAUAAUUUGGGCCUAUUUCUUUGGGUAAAUUUUUUGUGAUCCUUUAAAUUUAAACUAACGUGGGCUGAUCUCUUUUGUUUGAGUAUAUAUAUAUAUACAUAACACAAAUACCUUUUGGGGCCCCUAAAAUUUGUUAAUUUUAGUGGGCCUAAAGCCCAGGCACCUUGGGAUUUAGGCUAGGGUCGGUGCUGGAACUAGUAAAUUUUACAAUGAGGAAGAAGGCAUACACAAAUUUAAAUUAUUUGAAAUAUGAAGACCAAACUAUUUUUACUAUCAAAUCUCAAUACAACCUACUCCUUGAGCCUAAAUCUUCAGCAAUCCCUCACUAUAUUUAACAAAGCAAUUUAUAAUAUUUAUUUUUAUAAAAAACAAAUUCAAUAGCUUAUGUGACACCCCCAAAAUAGGUCCACACGACCCAUUCCGAGUCACCAAAUACAUGGUAUAAAAUUCAAAUACAACUUCCUAUUUACAAAUAUUAAAUUGUCAUGCAAAUACGAUAAAACAUAAGCUGUGAGUUUUAAUACAGAUAUUGUCUCGUAGACAAUAUCCAAACUCAAAUAAAGUCCUAAUUAUAAUUAUUGUCGCACUAUUUUAUAAAAUAGUGAGGACUACUAUAAUAACCGUUUUGUACCAUUACUCCACUCUCCGACUAGUCCCAGCUAUAUUCUCGCCUCCUAAGAAGAACAAUGGAACCAAAAGGAAAAGGGUGAGCUCAAUUAGCCUAGUAAAGAAUAUUAUGACUAAGAUAAUGAAUAAAAAAUUAUCCUUAGUCCUCAACAGUAAAAAAUCUGAUAGAAUACAACAGACAACAAGUUUUAGAUCAACAACUGUAGCGAAACAAACAAUCUAUUAUAAGAGUCAAGUAGAGCAUGAUGUAUACUAUCUUCUAUGAUUUAAAAAUCCAUCAUCAAUAUUUUAUCCCUGUAACACCAAUCAAUAAUUAUUUUCAAUCAACGAAUUAUCUAUGCACUACGGGCCAAAAAUAAUCAUUUGCAUUACCAAUGGUCAUGAUCACGUCAUAUAUCUGUCAAUCUAUGCACUACGGGCCAAAAAGGACUUCCACCACAAACCUUAUCUGUAACAUUAAAUGUCAUGAUUAUACCAAUACACAAUUUCUGGUCAUAAUCAUACCAAUCAAUAGUCCAUCUUUGCACUAUGGGCCAAAGAUGACUUUCAGCAUAAUUGAUGAGUGAGUUUUAUACCCAUUAAUUGAAUGUGUUUGAGCUUAAUCUUUUGAAGGUUUUUAAGUAUUUGUGUCUAUUUAUGCAUGUUUUUAUGUUGUUUUGUAGGAAUUGGGACAAAAGUUACUUGGAUUGACGUUUAAGGUUGCUAGAUUCACAUUUUUGGCUUGUCAUGUACAUAGCUGCUACUUCAAGGCCAAUUUCAGCAUUGCUCAACGCUUAUUUCAAAAACCUCAAAGAAUAAAAGUUCUAGAUCUACGUCUCCUCUUUCCAGAAUACCUUGAAUCAAAAAAAUUAGAGUUCAGACGAAGAAGUUAUGUUUGUUUUCCCAAGGGACGUUAGAGUAGAAAAUUUCAGAAAAGCUUCCAGCGCCAGGGCGCCCAUUCCUAGGCACUUCCCAGCGCCAGGGCGGCCAGAGGCAGAUUUCCUGUGCCGCGAGCAGCGCCGGGGCACUGGGGUAGGGCCAGAUCAAGUUAGGAUGCGUUUUUGAGUAAAUUUUGAUAUUUUUUUACUCCAAAUUGGAUUGGAUUUCCUCUUAAGCUAGAAAUUUGACUUGUAACCUAUAAAUACAUGAUGUGAGGCAUAAAAUAGGGGGAUUAAAUAGAUUAGAUUAGAAAAAACAUUCCAUUAGAUUAGAACAUAAACCCUAGUUUACAUUGGAUUUGUGAUGCCCCCAAAAUAGGUAUACAUCACCCAUUCUGAGUCGUCAAAUACAUGAUACAUAAAUCAAAUACAACUUAAUUAUACAACUAUCGUGUAACAUACGACAAAACAUAAGCUGAGAGUUUUAAAACGAAUAUUGUUUUCUAGACAAUAUCCACA